UACGUAGGGUGCAAGCGUUGUCCGGAAUUAUUGGGCGUAAAGAGCUCGUAGGCGGUCUGUCGCGUCGGAUGUGAAAAUCCAGGGCUCAACCCUGGACCUGCAUUCGAUACGGGCAGACUAGAGUUCGGUAGGGGAGACUGGAAUUCCUGGUGUAGCGGUGAGAUGCGCAGAUAUCAGGAGGAACACCGGUGGCGAAGGCGGGUCUCUGGGCCGAAACUGACGCUGAGGAGCGAAAGCGUGGGGAGCAAACAGG
Molecule: ribosomal RNA, 253 nt
Filed under: uncultured bacterium
Lineage: Bacteria
Description: partial 16S ribosomal RNA
Rfam family: Bacterial small subunit ribosomal RNA
Source: RNAcentral